UUCUGAUCCUCGCGCUUUUCUUGUGGUUGUUCCGCCGAGAUUUCACCGCGAAGAUGAUGUUGAAGUUGCUUACAGAUUGAAGCUUGUUAAGGAGUAAAUUGCAACCGUGAAGAUCUUCAGAGAAAGAUUGAAGAAGGUUUGAAGGAAGAUUGAAGAAUCGUGUUGAUGGUGAAUGAAGAUUGGAUAAGGUUCAAGAUUCGGUUAGAGGUUGAUGAAGAUGAAUUGAGAGGAUGAAGAUGAAGAAGAUUAUGGAUGAUCGAUGGUGGAGUUGGUUAUGAAGAUUCAAGAGAGGAUUGAAGGAUUAUUGAAAAUGAUGGAGAGAGAUUGAAAGAUGAUGAUGAAUUGUGAAGCGAAUCGAUGCCGAGAUGGUGAAGAUUGAAUUGGAUCUUGAAGAAAGUUUGUUACAGGCUGCAGAGAUCUCUUUUUUUUACAAAGCAUGGUUGCAAGCUGGGGGCUGUUUUGGAGCACGGAUGCAUUUUGGCAAGGCGUGAAUUCUUUUGGCGCAAAUAUCUGAGGGCCUUGGGUGUAAUUUUUGGUUUUAGAACAUGUAAUGGCACCACCGAAUGUACUAUUGAAGAGAGAUAAUGAAUGUAAUUGAUGGAACUUUUGAAUGGAUUUCAU
Molecule: long non-coding RNA, 621 nt
Organism: Vicia villosa (hairy vetch)
Lineage: Eukaryota; Viridiplantae; Streptophyta; Magnoliopsida; Fabales; Fabaceae
Exons: 3
Source: RefSeq, a predicted model, not a curated record